GCCAGUAUGCUGCAGUGGUUUGAGCAUUGGACUAUGACUCUGUAGACCAGGGUUCAAUUCCCCACUCAGCCA
This is a non-coding RNA of Phrynosoma platyrhinos (Desert horned lizard), 72 nucleotides long. Lineage: Eukaryota; Metazoa; Chordata; Lepidosauria; Squamata; Phrynosomatidae. The record is from the annotation of a GenBank genome assembly.